AACAUCGCCUCUUGAACAGAUAUAAGAGGUCCAGCCUGCCCGGUGAUACAAUUUAACGGCCGCGGUAUACUGACCGUGCGAAGGUAGCAUAAUCACUUGUUCUUUAAAUGAGGACUAGUAUGAACGGCACCACGAGGGCUUUACUGUCUCCUCCCUUCAAUCAGUGAAACUGACCUCCCUGUGAAGAGGCAGGGAUACUACUAUAAGACGAGAAGACCCCAUGGAGCUUUAAACCCAACAACAGCCCAAACACCACCACCCCUAAAAGUUUUAACGGUAUUGCUAGUUGGUUUUAGGUUGGGGUGACCGCGGAGUAUAAACUAUCCUCCACGACGAACGGGCCUACCCCCUUACCCAAGAGCUACACCUCUAAGGAUUAACACAUUAACGUAAAAUGAUCCAAAUAUUUGAUCAACGAACCAAGUUACCCUGGGGAUAACAGCGCAAUCCAUUUUUAGAGCCCCUAUCGACAAAUGGGUUUACGACCUCGAUGUUGGAUCAGGGUAUCCAGGAGGUGCAGCCGCUUCCAAUGGUUUGUUUGUUCAACAAUUAAAA
RNAcentral lists this ribosomal RNA (555 nucleotides) under Euphlyctis kalasgramensis. RNAcentral describes it as "partial large subunit ribosomal RNA". It matches the Rfam family "Bacterial large subunit ribosomal RNA", at positions 1812 to 2593 of the family's 2925-position model. Lineage: Eukaryota; Metazoa; Chordata; Amphibia; Anura; Dicroglossidae. The record is from RNAcentral.